AUGUAAAUGAUAAAUAUUGUGUGACCGUAAGACCAAUUCUAGACCAAUAACCAUUUAGGGGCAAUUUAGUCAUUUUGUACAAUAUCAUUAUAAUUUCAAUUUAUCAAUUAAUUAAAUAAACCUAAUUAAAAUCCUAUAAUUAAGGAAUUUAACCUAUAAUCACCACCUUCCGGUAUUAUCUUUGUCGCAACCAUCCUCAUCUUUAUCAGUCGUUUUCAUCUUCAUCGACUAUAAUCACUGCAGCUGUCACCGUCAUCAUCGCAUCCAUCACAAUCCAUGCCGCCACCAUCUUUCUAAUAUCCUUAUAACUUAAUCCUCAUUUGUCCAUAUGUAUCCUUCAACCAUCCUGCAACGCAUCAGAUAAAUCACAAGAACAAAAACUAGGGCUUAUCACGACUACAGUAGCCAUCAUUAAAUUAAUAAACAGAAGCAUCACAAAGGUAAAAAAAAGGUUAAAAAACUACUCUUUGCAGCCUAAGCUUGAUGAUAAGGCAUCAUUCUUGAAGCAUUUCAUAAACUUUCAUGUAUUUGUCACUCUUAAAUCUGUCACCAUAAAGGUAAAAAAAAGGCGGGGAAACUACCAUCGGUUUCUUGUUUUCUUUUUGGCUGUAACUUUGAUGAUUACAACAUUUUUUUAGCAAUUUUAUGAAUCGAUUUUUUUUUUUUAUAAAAACUCUAUAUUUAGAUAUUGAAACUUCUAUUAUUUGGCCUAAAGACAAGACCUUGGUGUAAAGUCAAAUUGCCCACCAUGUGUAUGAUAAAAGGUCCAAGAGAAUCUUUUCAUUGCCUAACAUUUGUCUGAUAAUAAUUUCAUUAAAGCAUAAUUUCCCAGCAUAUUCUUGAUAAAAGUACUUGAAAUAAGUUCAUGGAGUACUAGGUGUUUAAUAAUUUAUCACCAAUCUUUAGCUUUUAUUUGCUAUAUAUUUUGGAUCAAAAUGAUGACAAAUCUUUUGGUUUUCAAACGAGGUGGAAAAGUGAAGUUGAAUUCUAUCUUAAUAUCUUUUUUGAAGUUGAUCAUGAAGAGCAAGUAGAUGCAUUAUAUGAAAAAAGGAAAUAUGAAUGCGAUAAUAUAUGGAUUUGUUUCACAUGUUGUAAAAGAAUAAAAAAAGAGAAGAAGAAGAAGAAGAAGAAGAAGAAGAAGAAGAAGAAGUGGGUUCAAUUUCUUUUUGGACUUCCAUCUGAACACAAAUGCCAUGACAAUUAAAUUCCUAAAAUUUAUUUUGCAGUUGUUUGAAUUUGAACUAGAGGACUUGCAAUUCGAUAAUCAAAAGGAAGGGAUGCAAUGUUAUUGAUAUUCUUCAAGAAUGUAUACUGCAAUAUUCUUUAAGAAUGCAUACUAUAAUAUUUUUUAAGAAUACAUAUUGCAAUAUUGUUUAAGAAUGCAUAUUCUUUUUAGCAUG
This is a long non-coding RNA of Lactuca sativa (garden lettuce), 1400 nucleotides long. RefSeq lists it as uncharacterized. NCBI's taxonomy places the organism in Eukaryota, Viridiplantae, Streptophyta, Magnoliopsida, Asterales, Asteraceae. The record is from RefSeq and is a predicted model, not a curated record.